GACGAACGCUGGCGGCGUGCUUAACACAUGCAAGUCGAACGGUAAGGCCCUUCGGGUACACGAGUGGCGAACGGGUGAGUAACACGUGGGUGAUCUGCCUGCACUUCGGGAUAAGCCUGGGAAACUGGGUCUAAUACCGGAUAGGACCAUGGACUUCACGGUUUGUGGUGGAAAGCUUUUGCGGUGUGGGAUGGGCCCGCGGCCUAUCAGCUUGUUGGUGGGGUAAUGGCCUACCAAGGCGACGACGGGUAGCCGGCCUGAGAGGGUGUCCGGCCACACUGGGACUGAGAUACGGUCCCAGACUCCUACGGGAGGCAGCAGUGGGAAUAUUGCACAAUGGGCGCAAGCCUGAUGCAGCGACGCCGCGUGAGGGAUGACGG
RNAcentral lists this ribosomal RNA (380 nucleotides) under uncultured bacterium. RNAcentral describes it as "bacterial SSU rRNA". It matches the Rfam family "Bacterial small subunit ribosomal RNA", at positions 28 to 414 of the family's 1533-position model. The record is from RNAcentral.